UUCUCUCUCUCUCUCUCUCUCUCUCUCUCUCUCUCUGUGUGUGUGUGUGUGAGAGAGAGAGAGAGAGAGAGAGAGAGAGAGAGAGAGAGAG
This is a non-coding RNA of Podarcis lilfordi (Lilford's wall lizard), 91 nucleotides long. The record is from the annotation of a GenBank genome assembly. NCBI's taxonomy places the organism in Eukaryota, Metazoa, Chordata, Lepidosauria, Squamata, Lacertidae.